Molecule: ribosomal RNA, 310 nt
Filed under: uncultured eukaryote
Lineage: Eukaryota
Description: partial 18S ribosomal RNA
Rfam family: Eukaryotic small subunit ribosomal RNA
Source: RNAcentral
CCCUUAGAUGUCCUGGGCCGCACGCGCGCUACAAUGACUUAUUCAGAAAGUUUACCUGGUUCGGAAGAAUUCAGGGUAAUCUUUGUAAUACAAGUCGUGUUAGGGAUCGAUCUUUGCAAUUAUAGAUCUUGAACGAGGAAUGCCUAGUAAGCGCAGUUCAUCAGGCUGUGCUGAUUACGUCCCUGCCCUUUGUACACACCGCCCGUCGCUCCUACCGAUUUCGAGUGGUCCGGUGAACCAUCUGGAUUGGACCGCAAGAUUCGAGAAGUUUAGUAAACCUUAUCACUUAGAGGAAGGAGAAGUCGUAACA